This 280-nucleotide ribosomal RNA is filed under the name uncultured bacterium. RNAcentral describes it as "partial 16S ribosomal RNA". It matches the Rfam family "Bacterial small subunit ribosomal RNA", at positions 78 to 353 of the family's 1533-position model. The record is from RNAcentral.
GCUUGCUUUCUUUGCCGGCGACCGGCGCACGGGUGAGUAACACGUAUCCAACCUGCCCUUUACUCGGGGAUAGCCUUUCGAAAGAAAGAUUAAUACCCGAUGGCAUAAUGAUUCCGCAUGGUUUCAUUAUUAAAGGAUUCCGGUAAAGGAUGGGGAUGCGUUCCAUUAGGUUGUUGGUGGGGUAACGGCCCACCAAGCCUUCGAUGGAUAGGGGUUCUGAGAGGAAGGUCCCCCACAUUGGAACUGAGACACGGUCCAAACUCCUACGGGAGGCAGCAUG